GGGGAAUUUUGGACAAUGGGCGCAAGCCUGAUCCAGCAAUGCCGCGUGAGUGAAGAAGGCCUUCGGGUUGUAAAGCUCUUUUGUCAGGGAAGAAACGGCGGAGGUUAAUACCUUCUGCUAAUGACGGUACCUGAAGAAUAAGCACCGGCUAACUACGUGCCAGCAGCCGCGGUAAUACGUAGGUGGCAAGCGUUAUCCGGAUUUACUGGGCGUAAAGGGUGUGCAGGCGGGAUGGCAAGUGGUGUAUGAAAUCUCCCGGCUUAACCGGGCGGGGUUAUGCCAGACUGCCAUUCUAGAGGACGAGAGAGGGGCGUGGAAUUCCGGGUGUAGUGGUGAAAUGCGUAGAGAUCCGGAGGAACCCCAGAGGCGAAGGCGACGCCCUGGCUCGUACCUGACGCUCAGCCACGAAAGCAUGGGGAGCGAAC
Molecule: ribosomal RNA, 425 nt
Filed under: uncultured bacterium
Lineage: Bacteria
Description: bacterial SSU rRNA
Rfam family: Bacterial small subunit ribosomal RNA
Source: RNAcentral